RNAcentral lists this long non-coding RNA (1068 nucleotides) under Callithrix jacchus (white-tufted-ear marmoset). RNAcentral's name for it is "lncRNA (ENSCJAG00000067210.2)". Lineage: Eukaryota; Metazoa; Chordata; Mammalia; Primates; Cebidae. The record is from RNAcentral.
AUGAUCACACUUUUCUUGUCUACUCUUUCUUCUUUAAAGAAAAACUCCUUUACAGGUGCGUUUGGGGUUGCAGGGACCCCAGCUCCAGCAACCUGUUUGCUCCCAGAAGUGACCCAGAACGCAGUUCCCUCAGGGACCGGCAAGCCCGCGAGCGCCGCAGGUACCCAAGGCCUGGACCCGGCGCCUCUUCCCUCCAGUCCCCCUGCAAGUCCCCCUCAGUUCUCGCCUCUCGUUACCCUUAGAGGUCUCCUCUCGUUUCUUUCCCAAGUUCACGCCUCAAGACCUUCCUUCACCCCUCAUGUCCACUCUUCCUGUUCCCUCCUCCUGUUUCCCUUCCGUUUCACGCCUCCGGUUCCCUCCUCAAAUUCAUUCCUCAGUUCCCUCCUCCAUAUCCCCCCUCACUAUUCCUCGCGUUCUCCCCUCGGGUUCACCCCCAAGAUCUUCCCUCAAGUCUACCCCUCACGUUCACCCUUCCCGUUCCCUCCUCCUGGGUCCCCCUCGAGUUCACCCCCGCCCCGCUCCAGUUUUCCCCUCAAGUUUAUUCUCUCCUCCCCUCAAGCUCUCCCAACAGCUCGUUCACCCCUCACGUUCCCUCUCCGGUUCCCCGCUCCACUUCUCCCCUCGAGUCCUUUCUCUCACCCCAGGUCCAAACACAGACACAGGUCCUCCGUGUCUGACCCGGGCGGGAAGGCGGUCGCGGCGGCCUCGCGCUCAGGGAGCCCCGGGCGCGCCCCUCAAGCCCACAGCGUCCGAGGAAGAGGGGCCGCCUCCAGCGCCGCGCGGGCCCCGCUCACCGCUGCCGCCCCUCGCCAGUCCCCGGUGCUGCCCGGACCCUACAGGAAGCCGGGCGCCUCCUUACUUCCUUCUGAGGGCACUGGCGACGGGCGCUCCCUAGAGGGGCGGGUAGGCAGGGGCAGCCGAGUCGGGGAGGAACUGGGCCGCCUGCCGGGGAUGGGCCGAAGGCCGGCGGGAGGAGCAGACCCGGGCCACCUGGGCCGAGGGCGCCUCUUAUCCCGGCUAGCGGAGAAUAUUCUUCCUCCCGCCGCGCUCGCCACCGUCCCCGGGUGA